AUGAACUUCUCCGACGACUGGCGCUUCCUCUUCCCCGUCUCCUCCGUGUUCAACCCGCCGUCCCUCGCCCCGCCGGACGCCUCCCACGGGCCCCUCUUCUUCACCCCUCUCCCGCCGCCCGUCCCGCUCCUCUCCCUCCCCUUCCCCUUCCCUCCGCCCCUGCACGCCUCCACCACCGGCGACCUCCGCCACGCCCUCCGCUACUUCAUCGCCUCCACCUCCUUCCUCCCCUACUCCGAUCUCAAGUCCCUCUCGGGACCCCUCCUCGCCGCGCCGUCGCCGCCGUUCCCACCACCUUCCAAUCUUCUCGCCGUCCUCCCCUCCCGCUCCUCAAGCUCUCUCGUCCUCUUUUUCCCGUACGGCGAGAAUGCGGAGAAGAUUGCUUUCGCUCUUGUGAACUCCCCCGUUGCGAGCUCUGCGCCCGUUUCGCCCUUCGUUCAGAGGGAUGGGUUCAAGCACCCUGGGCACCGCAUACAGCAGCUUGCUGCUAUUCCUGCCCAGUCGUCCUGGUCAUCGGAGCCGGAUGACAGCUGUGUCGAGGGUUUCCUGCUUGCUGCGACAUUGUACACAGUGAGUUGGUUCAGGGUCGAGUCACGCGAUUCGGGUUCCCCGGUGCUUGUACCGGUGGCCAAGCAGGGGUUUGAUGCUGCUGUCGUGCACGCGUGCUGGAGCAGGCAUUUUCCGUCACAAUGUGCGGUGCUGCUGGAGAGUGGGGAGUUGUGUUGGUUUGAUCUGAAUACACGACUUGGAGGAAAGACGAGCGUUGGUUUUGGCAGCAAUGGUGAAGACUGGGGGGACUGGCUGAGCUGUGCGUAUGGAGCGCAACCGUGGAUGGUGAUCGUCGCAAGCACAAAAGCCGUCCUUUUGGUUGAUUUGAGCUUUGCAUAUCAUGGUGACAAAUACGCCGUGGAAAACGAGCCACACAAGUUUCAGUACAAGGUUCUAGCAAAAAUUGGGUUGCCAGGGUUGUUUGAAACUGAGCCUUUUGACAGGACUGAGCAUUAUAUUGCAUUCUGCAAGGCUGGGUUCGAUGAUUCCCAUAUAUCAGUAGUGACAGAGCGUCACUUGAUUCUCCUUGAUGUGACAAAGCCGUUGGAACCUGUGUUGGCUUGGCAGCAUGGGCUUGAGAACCCAAAUCAUGUUGCCAUGUUUCGGCUAUCUGAAUUGAGACCUUCCAAGGAAUAUGAUUGGGCUUCAAAUUCAGGUUUUGCCAUUUUGGUUGGUUCGUUCUGGAAUGGGGAGUUCAGUUUGUUCUGUUACGGGCCUAAGGAGCAAGGUUGUCUAGAUAAUUCUCAUUUAUACGCUUGGGAUAUUCCUUCGAGGCUUUCUCUGACAGGUCAGCAUUGUGGCUGCAGCAAUGGAAUCAUGAAAGAGAUAUUCUCAACGCCUAUUUCAGUAUAUGAUGGGUAUGCUUCCCAACACCGCGCUAAGUCCAUUGUUGGCUACUAUGUGCUUCCAGAUGACCUCUCAAUAUCGGAGCCAACAUCUGCCAGCUUUGCCUUGAUCCGGCUAACAGCACUGGGGAAGUUGGAAAUGCAACAGUAUCGUGCAUCUCGAGGUCUGCAUGAUGAAAUUGACACCCCAUGUGAUGAAUCAGAACAUGCAUCCAUGGAUAGUAGUUCAUCCAUUUUGAUUGACACUCAAGGUGAAAAUGUCUCCACCAAAUAUCGAUUCUUGAAGUUGCAUUUCCUAUAUGAACAUCUGAAGGGCAAUCUAUGCAGUGCGUUGGCGAAGCAUGGUACUAGUGUUAACGGAGACAGAGAUCAAAUUAUUAUUAGUGAAGAUGUGUUGGCAUUUGCAGAGGAUAACUCUAGAUCCAGCUCGUUGCCAGUUUCAGAUUUCCUAUGUAAUGCUAGCAUCCCCAUGAAUGUUUUCGAAAUUGCAUGUCAGAGCAUAUUGAACAGUCUACCUUCAAAUAUUCUUCAUGUCUCCCUUUCUAAAUACAAGGACAUGCUAAAAUGCGAUACAAAAGAAGGCUUAGUAGAAUAUUUAAAAGUUCCUAGCUGUUCGCCACACAAUGAACUUCGGCCUUUCCUGUUAGCGAAACCAUCAAGCACAUGUGAGAAGGUGACUAGCAAAGCGGUAUCUCAAAAUGCUCUUGUUGGGCCAGUGCUCCCUGUGCAUGUCCUACUUGCAAUGGAAGAGAUGAACAGGGGCAUAGACAGCUCUUCGGAAAGAGAAACUGCAGAAACUGACUUAGUACGCCAUCGAUGUAGUGAGGUGCUUGAAGCCUUUGUUCCUGAAGUAUCCAUUGCUGAGUCCGACAACUUUGAUGGAUGGUUCUCCUCACAAAAGUUGAAUGACAAGAAGUCAUAUCUUGUUUAUGAGCCUCGGAUUGAAAAUAAGUUUACUCUUGAUGAAACUGUUAUAAAGAAGGAAAACGAAGAGCAAAAUGCCGCUGAUCGUACAUCUUUUGAAACGUCUGCAGCACCAUACAAGGAUGAGAACUUCAUGACAUUUGUCUGUGGAAAAGCUGGAACUCUUGAUUCUGGGCCUGAACAAACCACAUCUGAUUUGUUUGAUUUCACCCCAGUGAGGAUGGAUUUUGCUUCCGCAGAUCUAGACAUUCAACCUGCCGAGGAAGAAGUGUACAGAUGCUUGAAGAAACAAUUUUUAAGAUGGCAAAAUAAUUUCAAGCCAUACCAAGAUUUUUGUAACUCAUAUAAAAUACAAAAGCCAUCAUAA
RNAcentral lists this ribosomal RNA (2685 nucleotides) under Triticum aestivum (bread wheat). RNAcentral's name for it is "partial small subunit ribosomal RNA". Lineage: Eukaryota; Viridiplantae; Streptophyta; Magnoliopsida; Poales; Poaceae. The record is from RNAcentral.